This 382-nucleotide non-coding RNA is filed under the name Cathartes aura (turkey vulture). Its description in RNAcentral is "Eukaryotic large subunit ribosomal RNA". It matches the Rfam family "Eukaryotic large subunit ribosomal RNA", at positions 2575 to 2988 of the family's 3401-position model. The record is from Rfam by way of RNAcentral. Lineage: Eukaryota; Metazoa; Chordata; Aves; Accipitriformes; Cathartidae.
CUCUCCUGGGGUAUUUUAACUAGCUCUUACAGGUGGGGAGUUUGACUGGGGCAGUACACCUGUCAAAGCGUAACGCAGGUGUCGGAAACCUCCCGUGGAGCAGAAUGCCAAAAGCUCGCUUGAUCUUGAUUUUCAGUACGAAUACAGACCGUGAAAGCAGGGCCUCACGAUCCUUCUGGCUUUUUGGGUUUUAAGUAGGAGGUGUCAGAAAAGUUACCACAGCGAUAACUGGCUUGUGGCAGCCAAGCGUUCAUAGCGACGCCGCUUUUUGAUCCUUUAGGCUCUUCCUAUCAUUGUGAAGCAGAAUUCACCAAGCGUUGGAUAGUUCAUCCACUAAUAGGGAACGUGAGCUGGGUUUAGACCAUCAUGAGACAGGUUAGUU